RNAcentral lists this ribosomal RNA (253 nucleotides) under uncultured bacterium. Its description in RNAcentral is "partial 16S ribosomal RNA". It matches the Rfam family "Bacterial small subunit ribosomal RNA", at positions 524 to 776 of the family's 1533-position model. The record is from RNAcentral.
UACGUAGGGUGCAAGCGUUGCCCGGAUUUAUUGGGCGUAAAGGGCGCGUAGGCGGCUCGGCACGUCCGUUGUGAAAUCGCCCGGCUCAACUGGGCGGGGGCAGCGGAUACGGUCGAGCUUGAGCAAGCUAGGGGGCAAUGGAAUUCCCGGUGUAGUGGUGGAAUGCGUAGAUAUCGGGAGGAACACCAGUGGCGAAGGCGGUUGCCUGGGGCUUUGCUGACGCUGAUGCGCGAAAGCGUGGGGAGCGAUCCGG